This 66-nucleotide transfer RNA is filed under the name Marmota monax (woodchuck). Its description in RNAcentral is "tRNA.Ala". The record is from RNAcentral. Lineage: Eukaryota; Metazoa; Chordata; Mammalia; Rodentia; Sciuridae.
GGAUUGUGGCUUAGAGGUAGAGCACUCGCCUAGCAUGGGCGGGACGGGGUUCGAUCCUCAGCACCA